Molecule: ribosomal RNA, 449 nt
Filed under: uncultured bacterium
Lineage: Bacteria
Description: bacterial SSU rRNA
Rfam family: Bacterial small subunit ribosomal RNA
Source: RNAcentral
CCAGACUCCUACGGGAGGCAGCAGUGGGGAAUAUUGGGCAAUGGGCGCAAGCCUGACCCAGCAACGCCGCGUGAAGGAAGAAGGCUUUCGGGUUGUAAACUUCUUUUCUGGGGGACGAAGAAAGUGACGGUACCCCAGGAAUAAGCCACGGCUAACUACGUGCCAGCAGCCGCGGUAAUACGUAGGUGGCAAGCGUUAUCCGGAUUUAUUGGGUGUAAAGGGCGUGUAGGCGGGAAUGCAAGUCAGAUGUGAAAACUAUGGGCUCAACCCAUAGCCUGCAUUUGAAACUGUUUUUCUUGAGUACUGGAGAGGCAGACGGAAUUCCUAGUGUAGCGGUGAAAUGCGUAGAUAUCAGGAGGAACACCGGUGGCGAAGGCGGCCUGCUGGACUGCAACUGACGUUGAGGCCCGAAAGCGUGGGGAGCAAACAGGAUUAGAUACCCCAGUAUC